AACAGAAGACGCGAUGCAGUCCGUCUCUCCGCUUUUAGAUAACAACCUGCCCAACCCAACCUGCCCACCUAAAACCCCAUUCGUCGCUUCAGGGCUACGCAGCCGCGAAAGGGCGGGUUGCUGAGUCUCACUCACGUCCCGACGGCCAGUACACGGGUCAAAUCGUACACGGGUCAAUGCAGCGCUGCCCGGCUGGGUAGACGUGUCGGGCUGGAGUGAGCACAUCAGCGGGACUCAGCACUGCUGGCAGCUCCCAGGUCUGUUUAAAGUGCUCAGGCUAGGGAAAGGGCUGGAGAUGGGAAGGGUGUGUGGCAAGAUGGGGGAAGGGUGGGGGACGGUGGGGAUGAGGUAGCGUGGAAUGGCGGAACGUAUACGCGGGCCAGCAGGAAGUACGGGGGCUGUCUAGAUAGGGCUGGGGAGAGCGCACGCUUCGGCGCACAGUCGUUGGGUUGUUGGGGUUAGGACGGGCAGCGCACUGAGCUCUCCGUCUACACCUGACCCCCUGGGACUUUCUUUGCCUGCCGUAUUGGCAACAUAGCCCCUUCCCUCCCCCCCUUUAGACACACACACACACACAUAGACACACACAUACACACACAUACACACACAUACACACACAUACACACCGUCCCUCUCUAGCGCGGGUUGAUUGUAAGAGUAUGCUCGUUCUUUGUCCGUUCCCGUUUCCUAUCCGUUAUCUGUCCGUUGCUUGUCCGUUACUUAUCGGUUACCUUUCCGUUGCUUAGCAUUACCUAUCCGGUGUUUAGGCCGUGUGGGUCACUACCCGACGACGUGGCGGAGCUGGUCGCCUUCCCGGCGGACCAGCGGCUGUCGGGCUAUAUCACCGGACAGGACCUUCUGUGCGAGGGAGGGGUGUCCAAGAAGAUGUGCUACUAUCCCGAGGAAUGAGGGCCUACGGGGUGGCGGGUGCUAAGAUAAUACUGCUUAGAGCGACAAGCGGACCCGAGCAUGUCCUGUGAUAGGGCGGGGGAAUGGAGGCUGGAGGGACAUGGGGAUGUGUGGAUGUGUAGAUGGGCGGGAUGAAUGACGCAGGCCCGGGCCAUGGGCCAUGGGCGGAAGCUCCGGAACCACGGGACGGUGAGGAGGACCCUGUUUUGAGGCUGUGGAGGGGGCCUUUACUUGCAGCAGCUUUGUCGCAGCAGUAGCAGCGCCGCCUUCGAAGACUGCGGGACCCGCUGUAACCACGUGAGGAUGAAGGGUUACGUAGAUGGGUAACGUAGAUGCGAAGAUACUCAUAACGAUGAUGUAAUCCAGGAAAGAAGAACGUGUCCAGGGAUGAUGUUUGACCAGUCUGUGAUUGCUUAACUUCUGGCGUUUUACGACGUGAAGAUGUCCUGAAGAAUCAGUUAAAAUAAGGAAGUAGCCUUUAAGUAGCCUAAUCUGUCAAGGAUGUCUGUUGCUGGAG
RNAcentral lists this long non-coding RNA (1426 nucleotides) under Volvox carteri. Its description in RNAcentral is "long non-coding RNA (VCAR_LNC000699)". The record is from RNAcentral. Lineage: Eukaryota; Viridiplantae; Chlorophyta; Chlorophyceae; Chlamydomonadales; Volvocaceae.